Molecule: unclassified non-coding RNA, 329 nt
Filed under: soil metagenome
Description: partial contains 5.8S ribosomal RNA, internal transcribed spacer 2, and large subunit ribosomal RNA
Rfam family: 5.8S ribosomal RNA (bases 1-120)
Source: RNAcentral
GAUGAAGAACGCAGCGAAAUGCGAUAAGUAAUGUGAAUUGCAGAAUUCAGUGAAUCAUCGAAUCUUUGAACGCACAUUGCGCCCCUUGGUAUUCCGAGGGGCAUGCCUGUUCGAGCGUCAUUAUAACCCCUCAAGCUCAGCUUGGUGUUGGGGCCUGCUGCACUGGCAGCCCUUAAAAUCAGUGGCGGCGCCAUCUGGCUCUAAGCGUAGUAAUUCUUCUCGCUAUGGAGUCCUGGUGGAUGCUUGCCAUCAACCCCCAAUUUUACUAUGGUUGACCUCGGAUCAGGUAGGGAUACCCGCUGAACUUAAGCAUAUCAAUAAGCGGAGGA